GGGGCAGUAGCUCAGUUGGGAGAGCGCUACGUUCGCAACGUAGAGGUCGUGGGUUCGAUCCCCAUCUGCUCCA
This 73-nucleotide transfer RNA is filed under the name Deltaproteobacteria bacterium. RNAcentral's name for it is "tRNA-Ala". It matches the Rfam family "tRNA". From Rfam's summary of the family: Transfer RNA (tRNA) molecules are approximately 80 nucleotides in length. Their secondary structure includes four short double-helical elements and three loops (D, anti-codon, and T loops). RNAcentral also lists the same sequence under 1 other name. Lineage: Bacteria; Pseudomonadati; Myxococcota; Myxococcia. The record is from RNAcentral.